Molecule: microRNA precursor, 193 nt
Organism: Oryza rufipogon (brownbeard rice)
Lineage: Eukaryota; Viridiplantae; Streptophyta; Magnoliopsida; Poales; Poaceae
Rfam family: MIR812 microRNA precursor family
Source: Rfam
UUUAAGUGCAACCAUGAGUUUUCAUUGCUAACUUUGAUCGUCUGUCUUAUUUGAUUUUUUUUAUAAUUAUUAUUUUUGUUGUUAUAAGAUGAUAAAACAUGAAUAAUACUUUAUGCGUGACUUAUGUUUUUAAAAUUUUUCAAAUAAGAUAGACGAUUAAAGUCGGACACGGAAAAUCAUGGCUGCACUUAAA